Molecule: non-coding RNA, 4794 nt
Organism: Oryctolagus cuniculus (rabbit)
Lineage: Eukaryota; Metazoa; Chordata; Mammalia; Lagomorpha; Leporidae
Source: RefSeq, a predicted model, not a curated record
CUUAUCCUUUCCUUGCAGCGUGAUGUCUGUAACCAGCAGCCAAAUCUCCCUUUGUUCCAGAAGAAGCAGACUCUUCAGCUACAGUUUGAAGACAAGCAGGAAAAGAACCAGUGACCCCAAGGCAGCAACAAAGAGAAGAUGGACAUCCAGAGACGUGCUGAGAUCUCCCAGUAUUAAAGUUCAAAGGGCAGUGUUCAUGAGAGCCUGUUUAUGACUGAAUUGCUACUUUCCUCACUGAGGUAACUGAGAUAACAUCAAGGAAAGUACAUUUUGGAGAACGGAUGACACAAGCGAACAAUGAACAAGAAAAGUUAGAUAAGAAGCCUUGAAUGCUAUUUUGGCCAGAAGGACAAGAACUCUAGGCUUUCUGAUGAUGUCUCUACAUCUGCAGGUCACCUUGGCUUGCAAGAGAAGCAAAGGUAUAUUGCAGCUCAAUUCACAAUAGCUAAGACAUGGAAUCAACCUAAAUGCCCAUCAAGUGAAGACUGGAUAAAGAAACUAUGAGCUUAAUGUCACAUCAUGCCAGUUGGAGAAUAUUUCAAAAUUAUAAAAAUGCAUGUUGUUCAUUGAUAAAAGCAACAGAACAAAGCCCAAGGCAUAAGGACAACAAAACCGAGGAUCUUUACAGAAUGGGAGAAUAAGUAAAUUCCUCUUUUAAGUUUUCAGAGCCCUCCCCCACUUCUCAAACCCCGCACUUCCCACUGAAUGGUGCAGGCCGUCCUUAGAGGAAGAAGAGAAGGAGGAGGAGGAGGGUUCGGCCUCAGGCCGGGCCUGUGCCGGGUGACGCCUGCCUAGCAGGCCACCGAGAAUUCCCGGAAUCCUUCUAGGUCACUGUCAAUCCCAGCAGCCCCUGAAGAUCAACAAGGAUCUUCCUCACCGCUUUCUAAACUCUUCUUACAGCUCAGUUAGGGGAAGACAGAAAUAAAAGGAAAGGCGUGCCGACGAGCCGGUGAAGGGGUCUAGGGGCGCGCGUGGACCAGGGGCGAGACCAGCCGAGGGCGCCUCCGGGGCGAGUGGGCGGGGCCGCCGCUGCAGCCGCCGGGAAACCAGAGACAGCAGGACAUUGUGUUCUUCUCCUCAAAAACAACCAGCCUCGGCCUCCCAAAGUAAACAGUUAAUCCUGUUGUUUAUCUUUUUAACAUGACGAGAAGUUAACAGCACAGUUUCUACUGCACAGAAAUGUGUUUUUCGUUCACUUAAGAAUUGUAUUUUCUCCUCGCUGAAAUGUGACAUGUAAACUUUCUAAUAUCAGCGAACAGGAAGAAAUAACAAUCUCUCUUUGCUGAAAGUGAUUCGACUUGGAAAAAGUCUGAGAAAGAUCUUUUCUACACUCCACAUCCUUUUUAUUUUUGGAAAAUAGCGCAUGACUGAAAUGAACAACAGCAAGCCACCCGUGCGCAGCAAGUUUGGUCUGUAAGGAAGGCACAAAUAAAACAGCUGACACAAUCAGUGCCAGCUUGGACUUUGAUUUUGGUUAUUGCCCAGGAAGAUAAGAUGCUUUAUAACCUGAUAGAAGUUUACCUGUGGAACAGGUUUGUCAAAGACAGUUACCUCAUGCCUAAUUAUUAAUUGAAAUUUCUAUUGAGAUAAUUGUAGAGAAACGUGUAGUUGUAAGAGACAAUCCAGAGAGAUCCAGCUCAGCCCAAUCACAACAAGGCAUCACAAAGUGGAUACUGAUAUUGCUACAACCUGUUACUCUAACUCAUAUUUCACCAAGUUUACUUGUAUGUGUGCACAUUUAGCUGUAUCCUUCACAGGUUUUAGCACCUGUGUAGGAACCUGUAUUCACCACCACAGGUAAGAUAUUGAGCACAGGAGGCAUCCCAUAUGGCUGCUCCACCUCCUAUCCAGCACUCUGCUAUGGUCUGGGAAAUUUGUGGCAGAUGGUCCAAGCAAGUCGUUGGGCCCCUGCAUCCCCGUGGGAGACCCAGAAGAAGCUCCUGGCUCCUGGUUUCACAUCAGCCCAACUCCAGCCAUUGCAGCAUUUGAGGAGUGAAAGCAGAUGGAGGACCUGUCUCUCUCUCUCUCGCUCUCUCUCUCUGCCUCUCUGUAACUCUGCCUUAAAAAUAAUAAAUCAACCUUUAAGAAAAAGAGUGGAAGAUACUGAGCAUAAGGAUCUCUCAAGUUACCCUUUUAUAAUCUCUUUCCACCUCCCCUCCCUCCAUCCCUAACAUCUGGAAAUCACUAAUCUGUCUAUCUAAAAUCUUGCCACUUCAAAAAUAUUAUAAAAAUGUAAUUGUCCAGUGUAUACUCUUCGUGAUUGGAUUUUCUUCCCUUAGGACAAUUCCCUGUGAAUAAUAAAAGCUAUUAUGCUUUUUAUUUUUAUAAUAGCUUUACUGAGAUAUAACAUACCAUAAAAUUGACCUCUUUUUAGUGUGGCAAAAUACACAUAAAAUUUACCAUUUUAAUAACUUUAAAGUAUACAACAGUGGCAUGAAGUACAUUUGCAAUGUUCUGCAACCAUCAGUACUGUCUAGUUCCUUAAUGUAUGCUUUCAUCCCCCAAAAGGAAACUUCACUCCAUUAAGCAACCAUUGCCAUUCUUCCCUCCUCAAAAUUAAUCUACUUUCUGCCUCUGCAAAUUUGCCUAUUAUAGAUAGGUCACACAAAUGGAAUCACAGAAUAUGUGGCUUUUGUGCCUGGCUUCUUUUCACGUAGCAUAAUGUUUUUUAAUUUAUGGUAUUGUAGCAUACAUUAUUUUUUCAUUUCAUUCCUUUUUGUUAUUGAAUAAUAUUCCAUUACAUGGCUCUGUCAUAUUUAUUUCUCUAUCAGCUGAUGGGCAGGGGAUUAUUUCCAUUUUUUUCAUGUAUGAAUAAUGCUGUUAUGAACAUCUUUUUAGAAGUUACAUGAACAUGCUUGUGUGUAUAUCUAUGGAGUGGAAAUGUUGACUUAUUUGGUAAUUCUGUUUAACUUUUUGAGGAACUGCCAGAUUGUUUUUCAAAGUGGCUGCACCAUUUUACAUUCUUACCAGCAGUAUAUGAGGGUUUUAGCUUCUUCACAGUCUCAUCAACUUCUAUUACUAAAAAUUUAAAAAAAUUUUUACAUUGCCAUACAAAUGGGUGUGGUUUUGAUUUGAAUUUCCCUAAAGACUAGUGAUGUUGUACUUAAUGGUCAUUUUUUUUUUUCAUUUUCAUAUCAUCUUUGGAGAAAUGUCUAUUCAAACCUUUUGAUUACUUUUUUUAUUUAGGCUUUUUUAUUGUUGAGUUGUAAGUGUUCUUUAUAUAUCCUGGAUAGUGAUUUGCAAAAAAGUUUUCCCAUUCUGUGGAUUGUCUUUUCAUUUCUACACCAGUUUUUUGAAGCACAAAGGUUUUUAAUUUGAUGAAGUCCCAUUAAUAUAUUUUUCUUCUGUUUAUGCUUUUGGUGUCAAGUCCAAGAAACUAUAGCCUGAUACAUAAGGUUAUGAAGAUAUAGUACUAGUUUUCUUCUGAGAAUUUUAGCUCUUAGAUUUUUAUUUAUUUGAAAGGCAGAUUGGGGAGGAGGUGAGAAAAGAGAUAUCAGUCUUCCAUCUGCUGUUUUUUUUCCCCAAAUGGCCACAAUGGUUGGGGCUAAGCCAGGCCAAAGCUAGGAAAGCCAGGAACUCCAUCCUGGUCUCUGAUGUGGGCAGCAGGGGCCCACGUACUUGAGCCUCUUUUUGCUGCCUUCCUAGACACAUUAGCAGGAAACUGGAUUGGAACUAGAGCAGCCAGGACCCCAAAAGGCCUUCUGAUAUGGCAUGCCACAGUCCCAAGUAGUGGUUUAAACACUUGUGCUACAAUGCCAACCCGGGGUUCUUACAUUAGGUCCAUGAUCCAUUUUGACUUAAUUUUCGUGUAUGGUAUGAGGCAAGGGACCUACUUUAUUGUUUUGUAGUAGAUAACCCAGUUGUCCCACAAUCAUUUGCUGCAAUAACUAUUCUUUCUCCAUUGAACUGACACCCUUGUCAAAAAUCAAAUGACUCAUAAUGCAAGGUAUUAUAUCUUUUAAAGAACAUAUGCCACAAAUAUAUAAAAAAUAAUGUCUUAUGUACAGAUCUUUUUCUUUCUUUUUAGCUUGGAAGUUUGUUGAGAGCAGGAACCAUAUUUAUUAUUCCCAAAGCACCAAUCAGAGCCCUUAGAUUUAUGCUUUACAGAUGCUGAUAUGUGCUGGUUGUACCAAGUUGAAUUAUUUAUUCACCCUUUGUAGAGAAAGAAGGCAUAAGACAUGGUUCCUUCUCUUGGAGACAAUUAAAAUUAUCUACACAGACAGUUCAUAAAGUGGGACCUAUAUCUCACUACGGAGUAUAGAAGUAGAAAGGGAAGUAUUCUUGUCUUAGUUAAGUUCUACAUUAGGAUAAGACUAAUGAAAGAAAUGAGGGAGGGAGAAGGAAGUUUAGUGCUUAAAAUGUGCUCAUGAGAGUAUUUAAGGCAUGGAAAGCCAAGACACUCUGGCAAAAAGAUCUCUGUGAGUGAGAUCCCAGUGGAAAGAACAGGUCUUCAAAGAGGGAGGUGCCUUUCUCUGAAGGGAGGAGAGAACCUCCACUUUGACUAUGACCGUGUCUAAACAAGAUAAGAGUCGGAGAACUCAAGGGGCUUCCAUAGCCUUGGAAACUCAUGACUGGUGCAUAGGGAGAUUACUGAUGCCAUAAACAGGAGUGUCAAUUUGUAAAGUCAACAACAGGAGUCACUGUGCACUUACUCCUCAUGUAGGAUCUCUGUCCUUAAUGUGCUGUACACUGAGGCUUAAUGCUAUAACGAGUACUCAAACAGUAUAUUUCACUUUGUGUUUCUAUGGGGGUGCAAACGAUUGAAAUCUUUACUUAAUGUACACUAAACUGAUC